CCCUUAGAUGUCCUGGGCCGCACGCGCGCUACACUGACGUGUUCAACAAGCCUCCUAGUUCGACAGGAUUUGGGAAAUCUUUGAACGCAUGUCGUGAUAGGGAUAGAUCAUUGCAAUUAUUGAUCUUGAACGAGGAAUUCCUAGUAAACGCGAGUCAUCAGCUCGCAUUGAUUACGUCCCUGCCCUUUGUACACACCGCCCGUCGCACCUACCGAUUGAAUGUUUCGGUGAAGAUUCCGGAUAGGACUUUUUUGAUUUAUUUCAAUUCUGUCUUAAAAGCUAUCUAAACCUCAACAUUUAGAGGAAGGUGAAGUCGUAACA
Molecule: ribosomal RNA, 321 nt
Filed under: uncultured eukaryote
Lineage: Eukaryota
Description: partial 18S ribosomal RNA
Rfam family: Eukaryotic small subunit ribosomal RNA
Source: RNAcentral